AUCCAGCUGAUGAGUCCUAAAUAGAACGAGACGCGCCCCCUGGAU
This 45-nucleotide non-coding RNA is filed under the name Schistosoma margrebowiei. Lineage: Eukaryota; Metazoa; Platyhelminthes; Trematoda; Strigeidida; Schistosomatidae. The record is from RNAcentral.